This 194-nucleotide ribosomal RNA is filed under the name uncultured bacterium. Its description in RNAcentral is "partial 16S ribosomal RNA". It matches the Rfam family "Bacterial small subunit ribosomal RNA", at positions 338 to 524 of the family's 1533-position model. The record is from RNAcentral.
CCUACGGGAGGCAGCAGUGGGGAAUUUUGGACAAUGGGCGAAAGCCUGAUCCAGCAAUGCCGCGUGCAGGAUGAAGGGCUUCGGGUUGUAAACUGCUUUUGUACGGAACGAAAAAGCUUCUCCUAAUACGAGAGGNCCAUGACGGUACCGUAAGAAUAAGCACCGGCUAACUACGUGCCAGCAGCCGCGGUAAU